GUGAAUUUGUAGCCUGCAAGGCUCACAUUCUCUAUCCUUUACACACCUGUGCACCCUUCUGAAGCGGAGAGUUAUUAGGCAUUGGCCGAGCGCCUCCCUUCGGUUAUUAUAUCAACCUCAAACUGCGUUUACUAGAAUGUCUCUUAUUGACCUUUGAGUCAGUAAAUCAAUA
Molecule: unclassified non-coding RNA, 172 nt
Filed under: uncultured Geminibasidium
Lineage: Eukaryota; Fungi; Basidiomycota; Geminibasidiomycetes; Geminibasidiales; Geminibasidiaceae
Description: sequence contains ITS1
Source: RNAcentral